CUCCUACGGGAGGCAGCAGUAAGGAAUAUUGGUCAAUGGGCGCAAGCCUGAACCAGCCAUGCCGCGUGCAGGAAGACGGCCCUAUGGGUUGUAAACUGCUUUUGUCAGGGAAUAAACCUUUGUACGAGUUACAGAGCUGAAGGUACCUGAAGAAUAAGCAUCGGCUAACUCCGUGCCAGCAGCCGCGGUAAUACGGAGGAUGCAAGCGUUAUCCGGAUUCAUUGGAUUUAAAGGGUGCGCAGGCGGAUAGAUAAGUCAGGGGUGAAAUCCCACAGCUCAACUGUGGAACUGCCUUUGAUACUGUCAAUCUAGAGUAUAGUUGAAGUUGGCGGAAUGUGUCAUGUAGCGGUGAAAUGCUUAGAUAUGACACAGAACACCGAUCGCGAAGGCAGCUAGCUAAGCUAUAACUGACGCUCAUGCACGAAAGCGUGGGGAUCAAACAGGAUUAGAUACCCUGGUAGUCCACGCUGUAAACGAUGAUUACUCGAUGUUGGCGAUACACAGUCAGCGUCUAAGGGAAACCAAUAAGUAAUCCACCUGGGGAGUACGAUCGCAAGAUUGAAACUCAAAGGAAUUGACGGGGGCCCGCACAAGCGGAGGAGCAUGUGGUUUAAUUCGAUGAUACGCGAGGAACCUUACCUGGGCUAGAACGUAGAAUGACUAUAGGAGAAAUCUUAUAUCCCUUCGGGGCAGUCUACGAGGUGCUGCAUGGUUGUCGUCAGCUCGUGCCGUGAGGUGUCGGGUUAAGUCCCAUAACGAGCGCAACCCCUACCUUUAGUUGCCAUCAGGUAAUGCUGGGGACUCUAAAGGAACUGCCUACGCAAGUAGUGAGGAAGGCGGGGAUGACGUCAAAUCAGCACGGCCCUUACGUCCAGGGCUACACACGUGCUACAAUGGCCGAUACAGAGGGCAGCUACCUGGUGACAGGAUGCAAAUCUCCAAAGUCGGUCUCAGUUCGGAUCGGAGUCUGCAACCCGACUCCGUGAAGUUGGAUUCGCUAGUAAUCGCGCAUCAGCCAUGGCGCGGUGAAUACGUUCCCGGGCCUUGUACACACCGCCCGUCAAGCCAUGGAAGUUGGGGGGACCUAAAGUCGAUAACCGUAAGGAGUCGCCUAGGGUAAAACCAAUGACUGGGGCUAAGUCGUAACAAGGUA
RNAcentral lists this ribosomal RNA (1153 nucleotides) under uncultured bacterium. RNAcentral describes it as "bacterial SSU rRNA". It matches the Rfam family "Bacterial small subunit ribosomal RNA", at positions 336 to 1498 of the family's 1533-position model. The record is from RNAcentral.